UGUUGGCAGCUAGUGAAUGUGACAAUAU
RNAcentral lists this non-coding RNA (28 nucleotides) under Rattus norvegicus (Norway rat). The record is from RNAcentral. Lineage: Eukaryota; Metazoa; Chordata; Mammalia; Rodentia; Muridae.